This is a non-coding RNA of Camellia sinensis, 634 nucleotides long. NCBI's taxonomy places the organism in Eukaryota, Viridiplantae, Streptophyta, Magnoliopsida, Ericales, Theaceae. The record is from RefSeq and is a predicted model, not a curated record.
ACAACAAAACAAAAAACCCUAAUCUAAUCGUUGUCCUCACUCUCUGUCUCAUCUCAUCUCACCACUGUCUCUCUCACUCUCUCAUUUCGUUGUUCAUUCAUCUUCAUCUUCUGCGCCGAUCGGUGAUCACUCUCAUCUCAUCACUGUCUCUCUCACUCUCUCGUUGUUCAUCUCAUCGCACCGAUCAUCUCACUCUCUCAUCGCACCGAUCUACUCACAGGGAUUAAUCUGAAAAUUAAGAUAAAAUUCAAGAGCGUGGGAAAGGUAAUCAUGGGAAUGAAUUAAUGGUGGGUCACAACUGGUAAUGUAUGUGUCACGUGAGAAGGGCACUUUGGUGCCACUAUUAGCAUCAUACAGAUUGGAUGCAAUGCAGGAAUUGCCUAAACUCCCCUCUUGCCGACAGUGUGUGCAACAUGAAGUGAAGGAAAAAAAAAUAUUACAAGUAAUAUUGCAAAUACGGAAGCACUCUCCCAGCUCCGCUUCAGUGCACACAGAACCUUCCAAGAUACAGGAAGUCGAGUAAAAAUUCCUUUUUUAUUAGGUUAGGUUUUAGAUUUUAUUUUAUUAUAAAUAAAUGUAAAGCCCAUUAUUGCAGUCUCUUUCAUCCUAAAUAUAUAGAUUUUCUUCCGUCUUC